RNAcentral lists this long non-coding RNA (3386 nucleotides) under Mus musculus (house mouse). RNAcentral describes it as "long non-coding RNA chr19:55526589-55529975". The record is from RNAcentral. Lineage: Eukaryota; Metazoa; Chordata; Mammalia; Rodentia; Muridae.
UCUGGACAGUGCAGCAUGUUCGUCCCUUGUCUCUGUUGCCAUUCUACAUAUGGAGCCUUAGUCAAGUCUGAGUGCCACUGUAUUUAUCCAAAAACAUACAUGAAUUCCUCAUGAUCAAUUCAAGGCAGGAAGAGAGACUUCUAGCACUGGUUUUUGUGAUGUUGUUCAGUUUAUUGUGUUAAGUUGGGAAAACAGAGCUAUUGCUUAGCAACCCUGGACUAGGCAUAAAAUAAUUGAAGGUCCCAAAUGAGAAACAUUUGUAAUGGAAUCUGCCCUAACACUUGCUUUACCACAUGGCUUAGCACCCUUCUGCUCACACAUGGUUAAACACAUGUUGGAACUGAUGUUUUAAGACCUGCCUCACACACCUCUUUGUCUACAUAUCCUAGAACAUGUGCUUUGAUACUCUUGUGGUCUGAGGGGAAGAGGUCAACCAGAGUCGUGUCUGGGAUCUCUUUUUCCAAACAUUCCUAGGUUAGCAGCAUUCAGUCAAAGGUCAGCACCAUAUUAAGAAAGCCACAACUCUUUUUGCUAGAUUACACAAACAACAUGUGCCUAUUCAGUCUGUCUAGAGACGGCACAGCCAUGGUCUUCUGGGCCCAGCUGAUCACUGGCCUCCUUGGUACCUCAGCAGGGGCUACAGCAUCUCUCAGAAUUGUUUUGCACCUUAGCUGGUCCACUUAAGGUUUUCUAAAUAAUCAAUCUGUUCAGCCUUCCUCAGGCCCAGAUGCCGAAUUAAACAAGGCUUCCAUUUCAGUCACUAGCUUAAAUUCUCUGUCUUACUCGACAGUUUCAACACAGACAGCAGCUACUGUCACUUCCAGCAAGAGGGAUGUCUCUUCACUCUGACAGCAUAGGCUUGCCGUCCAUGCUGUCUUCGCUGGUUUGGGCAGAAUAUAAUAGAUACAAUACAAUACAAGAACAAAUACUGAUUUGCACAGUUUUAGAGUUUUAAAAGCCCAACAUUAAAGUGCUGGCAGAUAGUGUCUAGUGAGGGUCCACUCCCUAGUUUACAAAUUACUUUCUUCUUAUUGAGUCUUCACAUGGCCGACAGCAGAAUAGUUGGUAGCUCUAUCCAGUCAAAUAAUAGGAUGACAGCAACAUACCUUUCAACAGUGCUUUUGGCCUACAAGAUACAUUGUCUGCUUCCUUUUUUAUCCCUACUAGAAUGAAAAGUAACACAUGAAACCCAUUUCAUAGACUGGCAAAUGAAAACCCAGAUCGCUUCAGAACUCUGCUAAAAAUCAUAGAGCCAGUAGGUGGAUAAUGAGGUUAGAUGUUGAACGCAGGUUUCCUCACGUGUAAAUCAAAUAUUUUCCUGCUAUGCAACAAGGCCAACUCCUGUAAGACACGAGGUAUUGCCUGGAAAAGCCCUUCUUAUCAAAGAGUGUACAGAGAAGGCAGGAUGUGAUCAAAGCAAUGCCCACACGUGAAACUCAGUACGUCAGCCAUGUUGACACAGCUUAUAAGGAUCACCCCAGCAUCCAUUCGAUAGGUGUGCACACUAAGGCCUUACAUCAUAGUAAACGUACUCAAGUCAAAGAUGUAAUAAGUAGCAGUGCUAAGGUUUGAAUGCAAGCCUGACUCAAAAUAAAACCCAGGCUCUUAACCAUUGCCUAGGGCUCCCAACCAGCAACAAUAAAUGAGCUCAUCGACAAACCACACUAAUUGCAGAAGCACUUUGGGAUGAAGAAUAUUGUUUCCUCAUCAUUCCUGGUCAUAAAGGUUUGCGAUUGGAUUUUUCCAUUUUUAACAUGUGAAAGUGAAUCAAUAUAACAAAAAGUCAAGGUUUUGGAUAUUAUGGGAAAGCAUUUGUAAAUAAUCUCAGCCUUUAGUCUGUGCCUUUUAGUAACCUGCCAGAGUGUACACGGUCUGACUAUCUAACCAUGGUGUACACUGUCCAACUAUCUAACCGUGGUAUACACUGUCCGAUUAUCUAACCAUAGUGUACACUGUCCGACUAUCUAACCAUGGUGUACACUGUCUGACUAUCUACCAUGGUGUACACUGUCUGACUAUCUACCAUGGUGUACACUGUCUGACUAUCUACCAUGGUGUACACUGUCUGACUAUCUACCAUGGUGUACACUGUCUGACUAUCUACCAUGGUGUACACUGUCUGACUAUCUACCAUGGUAUACACUGUCCGACUAUCUAACCAUGGUGUACACUGUCCGACUAUCUACCAUGGUAUACACUGUCCAACUAUCUAACCAUGGUGUACACUGUCCGACUAUCUAACCAUGGUAUACACUGUGCGACUAUCUACCAUGGUGUACACUGUCCGACUAUCUACCAUGGUAUACACUGUCCGACUAUCUAACCAUGGUGUACACUGUCUGACUAUCUACCAUGGUGUACACUGUCCGACUAUCUACCAUGGUGUACACUGUCCGACUAUCUAACCAUGGUGUACACUGUCCGACUAUCUAACCGUGGUGUACCCUGUCUGACUAUCUACCAUGGUGUACACUGUCCGACUAUCUAACCACGGUGUACACUGUCUGACUAUCUACCAUGGUGUACACUGUCCGACUAUCUAACCAUGGUGUACACUGUCCGGUUAUCUAACCGUGGUGUACACUGUCUGACUAUCUACCAUGGUGUACACUAUCUGACUAGUACCCAUAUAAGCUUUGUUUUGCAGGUGACUUGUGCUUAUAGUUAUUGAACUUAAGAACCAUAUAUUUUUUGAGACUUUGGAUUUCUAAGAUUAUUAAUAGCUGCUAAAUUAAAUUAUUUAAAAAUAAAUUCUACCCUAUCUACAGGACUCUAAAAGGUCAAAAUUGAGCAAAGUGUGUAAAGAAUGCUGCCCUUGAGUGUGGCCAGUCCAAAUAGCAUUUUUCCUAAUUGUACAAAGAUUGCCUGGCCUAUCUUCACAAGUGACUUUCUUAACUUAAAGGUGACUAGAAUGCUUGAAUUCACUUUCCCUGUUUAAUUGGUUUGGGUCUGAAUGCAGAGACUAGCAGAGAGACAUUUAUUCACAGCAGGAUCAGCCAGGAAGAGCCGCCUGUGGAUGCUUGACUUGUAAAUAUAAGCAGGAAUUUGUGAUUACUUGGAAUGGUUGGAAGACCCAGAGGGAAAUUUAGAAGGCUCUUCAUUCUGUUCUCCCCUCCAAAUAGAAUUGUUAGUACUACUAGCAGGCAAGGCCCAAAAGAGGGUGCAGUUCUAGAAUAAAUAAAGUCUUUCUUUGGUUUUGUUGUAUUUUUAUGGCAUUUUAUUAUGUUGAAGUUCAAGAUCAAACCAUUGCAUCUUAGCAUAGCCUUUGCCAAACUUCCAAAACUGUAAGCACAAAACCCUCAGCCUUCUUUUCUUUUCUUGCCUAGAAACCUAGGUAGCACUGAGCCAAAAUCUGAACUUAUAAAGUGAGAUUAUACUUGAUUAGG